GUCCACGCCCUAAACGAUGAUGACUAGUUGUUGGAGGAGUUAAAUCCUUUAGUAACGCAGCUAACGCGUGAAGUCAUCCGCCUGGGGAGUACGGUCGCAAGAUUAAAACUCAAAGGAAUUGACGGGGGCCCGCACAAGCGGUGGAUGAUGUGGUUUAAUUCGAUGCAACGCGAAAACCUUACCUCCCUUGACAUGUCAGGAAUCCUCCAGAGACGGAGGAGUGCCCGAAAGGGAGCCUGAACACAGGUGCUGCAUGGCUGUCGU
This 264-nucleotide ribosomal RNA is filed under the name uncultured bacterium. RNAcentral describes it as "partial 16S ribosomal RNA". It matches the Rfam family "Bacterial small subunit ribosomal RNA", at positions 793 to 1055 of the family's 1533-position model. The record is from RNAcentral.